This 531-nucleotide long non-coding RNA is filed under the name Anas platyrhynchos platyrhynchos (common mallard). RNAcentral's name for it is "lncRNA (ENSAPLG00000024842.1)". The record is from RNAcentral. Lineage: Eukaryota; Metazoa; Chordata; Aves; Anseriformes; Anatidae.
AUGGAAAACUGGAAGCAAAUAAAGUCCUUACAUUUUUACAGCACUCGGUUAUUCACCUGGCUGAGGAACACUAUGUAUCAUGAAAGAUUUGGCACAGAAGAGGAAUUGCACAUGAAAGCUUUGGCUUUGGUAUCAUUCAGACCCUGCCACUCCUUGUUUGCUCUUAACUUGAAUGACCAACAGAGAGAAGGUGACUCAGGCCCUAGGAAGAAGCCUGAUGAUGUGUGUCAAACAGGAAGGAGGGCUAGAGCAUCAUAGUAGCCCAUCUGGCAUUACGAACCACAAUUUGGAAUUAUUCUUUUGUAAUGAACAAGAUUCUCUGGGAAGAAGCAGAAUGAAGAUUUGCCAUUGGAAUUAGAAGUUAUGUUGCUGGAAGACUGACAGUGAAAAGGUGAAGCAAAGCACUAUUUAUAGGCAGAGACGCUAUCUUUCAUUCAAUCCACUGAUACAGUUUGAUCAGCUUUCACUAGCUUGCCUGGAGUUUCUUCCAGCUAUAUGCAUUCACCUAAUAAAAUAUUUUAUUUCCUGACA